AAAUCUGUAUCCAGAAGCAACUUUGUCCACCAACCUGGUCUAUCCUUCUUCCUACUGUCCUAAAGAAAUCAGAGGGAACUGAAAACCAAGAAGGGUGGUCUCCAAGGUGGAUUCUGCCCAUCUUUUCCCCCUUGAACCACUGGAAUUGAAACCCAUGGGAUUUUUGCAAAGUAAGUAUGUAAAUUUACACAGACAGAUGUGCAAAGUUUUUGCACCUGCUCCGACACCCUUUCCCUUCCUUUCUCUCCUCCCUCCUUCCCUCACUGCAGAGGAGUUCUGGGAUUCCCUGGCUUCGUAGCAGAGGGCUGCCUGAAACCUGCAAAGAUUUGGGGGGGUUCUGAAAUUCCUGGGUGAGGUCUGUGAAGGAGAUCAGCUGCCUGCAUCUUUUGUGGGAAGAUAUAAGAGAGAAUAGGGACCUUUGCGUGAAGCACUCUGUCAGCUCAAGUCAGUGAUGAAAGUCCUAUUGAAAAGAGCCCCAGAUCAAAUCAAAACCUGAUUUCCUAAGACUGACAUUGCCUGCAAAUGGAGGCAGAUUGAGGUCCGUAGCUGGCCAGUGCUUUGGACGCAUUCUGCUUACUUUAGUCACACAAAAUGACGUAUUGAUGUAAGCUUCCAGGAUCCAAACAGGCAGCCCUUUCAUAGGCAAAAGCCCUAAUGAAGUCACUGGCAAGCAGCCUUGCUGGCCUACGGCCUGCAGGCUAUUUCCCUAGUCAAUACACUGGACCUAAUCUUAUACCCCUUGAGCAUCAAACUCCAUGUGUAUUUUCCAGAAGUAUUUGUUCUCUUUCUGCAAAAGUGCAAGAUUUGUGUGCUGGAGAGAGCAGUGUCAGCGAGCAGCUGCUUUUCCUUCAGCGUGAGUUGCUUAGUAUAUCGACUUUAUUCGCUACUAGUUGGGCAAAACCAAACUGCAAAGCUGAGACAUGGAACAGCAAGAAACUGGACUGCCAAAUCAAAAUCUCCUGUUUAGAAGGCAGGCUGCUGAGGCACCGGGUACCUGCUGGUGCGCCAGUUUGGGAAUGA
Molecule: long non-coding RNA, 1020 nt
Filed under: Anas platyrhynchos platyrhynchos (common mallard)
Lineage: Eukaryota; Metazoa; Chordata; Aves; Anseriformes; Anatidae
Description: lncRNA (ENSAPLG00000020262.1)
Source: RNAcentral